Molecule: ribosomal RNA, 393 nt
Filed under: uncultured bacterium
Lineage: Bacteria
Description: bacterial SSU rRNA
Rfam family: Bacterial small subunit ribosomal RNA
Source: RNAcentral
AUUGAACGCUGGCGGAAUGCUUUACACAUGCAAGUCGAGCGGCAGCGCGGGGGCAACCCUGGCGGCGAGCGGCGAACGGGUGAGUAACAUAUCGGAACGUACCCAGUCGUGGGGGAUAACUAUCCGAAAGGAUAGCUAAUACCGCAUACGUCCUGAGGGAGAAAGCGGGGGAUCGCAAGACCUCGCGCGAUUGGAGCGGCCGAUAUCGGAUUAGCUAGUUGGUGGGGUAAAGGCUCACCAAGGCGACGAUCCGUAGCGGGUCUGAGAGGACGACCCGCCACACUGGAACUGAGACACGGUCCAGACUCCUACGGGAGGCAGCAGUGGGGAAUUUUGGACAAUGGGGGCGAACCCUGAUCCAGCCAUUCCGCGUGAGUGAAGAAGGCCUCGUGU